Long non-coding RNA from Xyrauchen texanus (razorback sucker), 1579 nucleotides. RefSeq lists it as uncharacterized. The transcript has 5 exons. NCBI's taxonomy places the organism in Eukaryota, Metazoa, Chordata, Actinopteri, Cypriniformes, Catostomidae. The record is from RefSeq and is a predicted model, not a curated record.
GUUAGAUAUUCAUCUGUCCACAGUUAGACAAACUGUCUAUAAAUGGAGAUGAUUUAGUACUAUAGGUACUCUCUCUAGAAGUGGCCGUUAGAUAUUCAUCUGUCCACAGUUAGACAAACUGUCUAUAAAUGGAGAUGAUUUAGUACUAUAGGUACUCUCUCUAGAAGUGGCCGUUAGAUAUUCAUCUGUUCACAGUUAGACAAACUGUCUAUAAAUGGAGAUGAUUUAGUACUAUAGGUACUCUCUCUAGAAGUGGCCGUUAGAUAUUCAUCUGUUCACAGUUAGACAAACUGUCUAUAAAUGGAGAUGAUUUAGUACUAUAGGUACUCUCUAGAAGUGGCCGUUAGAUAUUCAUCUGUCCACAGUGAGACAAACUGUCUAUAAACGGAGGUGAUUUAGUACUAUAGGUACUCUCACUAGAAGUGGCCGUUAGAUAUUCAUCUCUCCACAGUGACACAAACUGUCUAUAAAUGGAGAUGAUUUAGUAUUAUACGUACUCUCUCUAGAAGUGGCCGUUAGAUAUUCAUCUGUCCACAGUUAGACAAACUGUCUAUAAAUGGAGAUGAUUUAGUACUAUAGGUACUCUCUCUAGAAGUGGCCGUUAGAUAUUCAUCUGUCCACAGUGAGACAAACUGUCUAUAAAUGGAGAUGAUUUAGUACUAUAGGUACUCUCUCUAGAAGUGGCCGUUAGAUAUUCAUCUGUUCACAGUUAGACAAACUGUCUAUAAAUGGAGAUGAUUUAGUACUAUAGGUACUCUCUCUAGAAGUGGCCGUUAGAUAUUCAUCUGUUCACAGUUAGACAAACUGUCUAUAAAUGGAGAUGAUUUAGUACUAUAGGUACUCUCUAGAAGUGGCCGUUAGAUAUUCAUCUGUCCACAGUGAGACAAACUGUCUAUAAACGGAGGUGAUUUAGUACUAUAGGUACUCUCACUAGAAGUGGCCGUUAGAUAUUCAUCUCUCCACAGUGACACAAACUGUCUAUAAAUGGAGAUGAUUUAGUAUUAUACGUACUCUCUCUAGAAGUGGCCGUUAGAUAUUCAUCUGUCCACAGUGAGACAAACUGUCUAUAAAUGGAGAUGAUUUAGUACUAUAGGUACUCUCUCUAGAAGUGGCCGUUAGAUAUUCAUCUGUUCACAGUUAGACAAACUGUCUAUAAAUGGAGAUGAUUUAGUACUAUAGGUACUCUCUCUAGAAGUGGCCGUUAGAUAUUCAUCUGUUCACAGUUAGACAAACUGUCUAUAAAUGGAGAUGAUUUAGUACUAUAGGUACUCUCUAGAAGUGGCCGUUAGAUAUUCAUCUGUCCACAGUGAGACAAACUGUCUAUAAACGGAGGUGAUUUAGUACUAUAGGUACUCUCACUAGAAGUGGCCGUUAGAUAUUCAUCUCUCCACAGUGACACAAACUGUCUAUAAAUGGAGAUGAUUUAGUAUUAUACGUACUCUCUCUAGAAGUGGCCGUUAGAUAUUCAUCUGUCCACAGUGAGACAAACUGUCUAUAAAUGGAGAUGAUUUAGUACUAUAGGUACUCUCUCUAGAAGUGGCCGUUAGAUAUUCAUCUGUUCACAGUUAGACAAACUGUC